GAUGAACGCUGGCGGCGUGCUUAACGCAUGCAAGUCGAACGGAAAGGCCCAAGCUUGCUUGGGUACUCGAGUGGCGAACGGGUGAGUAACACGUGGGUGAUCUGCCCUGCACUUCGGGAUAAGCCUGGGAAACUGGGUCUAAUACCGGAUAGGACCACAUUUUGGAUGGUGUGGUGGAAAGUUUUUCGGUGUGGGAUGAGCUCGCGGCCUAUCAGCUUGUUGGUGGGGUAAUGGCCUACCAAGGCGUCGACGGGUAGCCGGCCUGAGAGGGUGUACGGCCACAUUGGGACUGAGAUACGGCCCAGACUCCUACGGGAGGCAGCAGUGGGGAAUAUUGCACAAUGGGAGCAAGCCUGAUGCAGCGACGCCGCGUGGGGGAUGACGGACUUCGGGUUGUAAACUCCGUUCGCUAGGGACGAAGCGUUAUGUGACGGUACCUGGAGAAGAAGCACCGGCUAACUACGUG
Molecule: ribosomal RNA, 466 nt
Filed under: uncultured bacterium
Lineage: Bacteria
Description: partial 16S ribosomal RNA
Rfam family: Bacterial small subunit ribosomal RNA
Source: RNAcentral